GACGUUGACGGAGCACGUCAGAGAAGGAAGACUGAGACCGCGCUUGUUUGAAAUCGAAAGGUGUCGCGGUAGCUUUUGAUAAAGAUUAUCAUCAAGACGAAGCAACUGCAUUAUAAGUGGGAUGCACUGUUGACCGCAACAUCCCGAGGCGUUCGUGCUGAUUGUACGGAGAUUGUGACAGCGGGUUAAAUGGCGUCCCUUGAGAAAGCAAGAACAAGAUAUGUCAGGAGAAGUGCAGUAUUACAUAAGGAGAUGUAUACUUGGAAAAAUGGAUAUGGUUUGUUAAAGAAGAAUGGUAGAAAGUGUAAACUGAGUGAGCUGAAGACCGGUGGAGAAAUGGAAGUGUAUGAGGGCGAAGUAUCGGAGGUUCCCAUUUCAUGACAAGCCCAGGCUACAGCAGUGGGUAGCAACUGUCAGGCGGAUGAAUUGGAAACCAACCCAACACUCUUGUCUCUGCCCAUCACUUUGAAGAUGAGUGUUUUUGGGAUGAUGACAAGGGAAAGGUCAGCCUCACUGCUUCUGCCCAUUAUUUUCUCCCCUGGUUGUCUUCAAAAGUGGUCACAAUGCCCCAGGGAAAGAUCAAGGAAUACAGUAGGUACAGAGGUAAGUGGCAACGCUGAUAAUGUGAAAGCGUCUGCGGCAUGAUCACACUUAAUGUGUAUGUUACAUCGUUGAGGUACUUGUUGAUGAUGAUGUUGGUCACAGCAAUAUCAAUGUGUUGUGUCUUUAGUAUCAUUAAAGGUGAAGACUGUUAUUUUAUCAACUCAAUUCUCUGUAAUUAUUAUUAUGUGAUUAAACUAAUCCUGUAAAUGUAAUUAACUAGGAAGUCAGGGCACCACGGAAAAUCUUCAGAUUACAAAAAUUAUAAUUUUCCAAAUAUAACUCUUCAGAUAUUUGAAUCUGAUCAAUUAGUCUUCUAUUAAUGAAUUAUUCUUUAUCUUACGUCAGUCUCAUUUCAAACAUCGUAGAAUUCUUGGUUAUCUGUACAAACCCAGCCUAAACUAUGAAUCAUCCAUACACCAAUUGGCUUAAUCAUUUAUUUACUAACUAACUAAACAAUCACAGAAAUGCAUAACAAACAGUAGAUAUUGGUUACUAACAAUGAUAGGGAAGAUCCCCUAGUGGACUAAACCGAUAUGACUGCUUGGUGGACAAAGAAAAGGGAGUGUGGACCGAUAAAGGAGCUUGAAAGACAAAAUGGAUCACUACACACAGUGGAUAAUUAUAUUAAUUGAAAUGCUAAUCCUUUGCAGAUGAUGCUCGCUCAUUCGGGAAUAAUUACAAUCAAUAUAUUUACGCCCAUAUGUCGUUGUCUUCUCUGUUGGAAUUGUCCGUCCGUCUGCUGGAGAGUCAGUUCAUCAGAGUCUCUCUGGUUACUUAUGGUGUUAGCUCUAUCGGCGGCUCCUGAUAGUGUCUGUUGUAAUGGGUACGUCAGGGGUCCAUUGUUCUUAGAGUAGAUGUUUCGGCGGUCGUCGGUAUUUUCAUUCCAGGUUUACAUAAUUUCUAGCUGCAGACUAGUAAUUAGUAUCUAAGAUUUGCUCUUAUUCUGCAGGGAUCGAUAGUCUCAGAGUUGAACCAUUUCCAGCCGUGUAGCCAAUGCGCCAUGUGGUAUGGUUUUGUAGUCGUGGUACUCAACCAUUGCAACCACAGCUCACGCUGGGGGUUUGCUUAGUCUGAAGAGGAUUUCCUCAGGAGGGUUUUUUAUUAGUAACAAUAGAAAAGGGCGGUUCCAUGAUGCCUGAUCAUGUCUGUGCUCACAGGAUGUGCUCCCUGUGCUCACAGGGAAAUAACAAAUAGUUUCAUCUUUACUCAUUCAUUUUAUAACCCCAUAAUUCAGAAAUGUACACAUUCAGACAUAUAGUUGUGUGUUUCCUGUCCUCCAUGAGGUCACCAAAUGAAACACACUCGUCAUACCCGUCCCUUAAGUGUCCAUGGACCCUUCCCACAUUCUCACAAGUGGACAUAUAGUUUAAUUCUUCCAUUUUGGGGAUUUAGGAGUUUGGCCAAGUGAAAUCCCUUCUCUCUCUGUAUUCUCUUGUUCUCUCUCUGUAUGCUCAGUCCCCCCCUGUACUCCCUGUUCACCCACGACUGCAUGGCCAGGCACGACUCCCAACACCAUCAUUAAGUUUGCAGACGACAACAGUGGUAGGCCUGAUCACCGACAACGACGAGACAGCCUAUAGGGAGGAGACCUGGCUGGAUGGUGCCAGAAUAACAACCUAUCCCUCAAUGUAACCAAGACAAAGGAAAUGAUUGUGGACUACAGGAAAAGGAGGACCGAGUACGCCCCCAUUCUCAUCAACAGGGCUGUAGUGGAGCAGGUUGAGAGCUUCAAGUUCCUUGGUGUCCACAUCAACAACAAACUAGAAUGAUCCAAACACACCAAGACCGUUGUGAAGAGGGCACGACAAAGCCUAUUCCCCCUCAGGAAACUAAAAGAUCUGGCAUGGGUCCUGAGAUCCUCAAAAGGUUCUACAGCUGCAACAUCGAGAGCAUCCUGACUGGUUGCAUCACUGCCUGGUACGGCAAUUGCUCGGCCUCUGACUGCAAGGCACUACAGAGGGUAGUGUGUACGGCCCAGUACAUCACUGGGGCUAAGCUGCCUGCCAUCCAGGACCUCUACACCAGGCGGUGUCGGAGGAAGGCCCUAAAAAUUGUCAGACUCCAGCCACCCCAGUCAUAGACUGUUCUCUCUACUACCGCAUGGCAAGCGGUACUGGAGUGCCAAGUCUAGGACAAAAAGGCUUCUCAACAGUUUUUACCCCCAAGCCAUAAGACUCCUGAACAGGGGGAGAGUCUCCGCCAAGAAUUUACGACCUGAGAUAACAGAACCUGGGUGUAGGAGUCAGAGGGGGAAGCCACGAUCUACACCCAGAAAGGGCCACAUCAUGACAACUGUGAUGCUGGAUGUGCAUGAUGACACCAGUGGUGUGUCAGAUGUAGGCCUACAUCACAAUGACAUAGCUGUGAUAGUGGAUGCCGGCUGCUGCUGAUUCCUUGCUUCUCACUAGGCGAUGUUGCCACACCUCAGCUGAGCAGAGGAUCCAAUAUGACAAACCAUGCAGUAAUUUCUCAAUGGUACAGCUUCUUGGUUAAAUACAAAGGUUCUCUUUCAUUUUCUCCUCUACAUUUGGAUUAACAAUGGUGCUUGUGUGCAUCUAAUAUAUUUUAUGAGCUUUGAUUAGAAGCAUAACCAAACGGCUUUAGAAGUAUAACACUGAAACUAUAGAUAACGUUAUCCAGAAAUCUUACAUACUGUUUUCUGAAAGUUAUUUUAAAACUGUAAAUCCCUAUCCUAAAGAAAAUUAUCCAACUUGUAACUCUGAUUUGGACUAUCGGUUUCUGUCAAAACACCCACACUGAUGAAAGUGAUAGUGGAAAGCCUAGAUAUGGAACCGCUUGGAUGAUAUCAGUCUUUGGGCAAGGCAUCAUGAGGUUAAGUCAUGUCCUCUGCCUCUCUCACUCCUCUCUGUCACUUCUCUCCUCUACACGUGGUCAUUGCUUCAGCACUUGGACAUUGCGGUCCUCCUGAUCAAGUUCAAAUGAAGUGUUCAGUAUUCUCUGAUUCUCAACACAAGUAAAAGAGGUCUCAUACAAUGAGUAUACCAAACAUUAGGAAGAACUUCCUAAUAUUGAGUUGCACCCCCUUUUGCCCUCAGAACAGCCUCAAUUCAUUGGGGCAUGGACUCUACAAGGUGUCAAGUGUUCCACAGGGAUGCUGGCCCAUGUUGAUGCCAAUGCUUCCCACAAUCCUUCUUUAACCUGUCUCCGCCCUUCAUCUACAAUGAUUGAAGUGGAUUUAACAAGUGACAUCAAUAACGGAUCAUAACAUUCACUUGGUCGGUCAGUCUGUCAUGGAAAGAGCAAAUCAAAUUUAACAUGUCACAUGUGCCAAAUAAAAUUUUUGUAGACGUUACCAUGAAAUGCUUACUUACAAGCCCUUAAACCAACAAUUCAGUUCAAGAAAGAGUUAAUAAAAUAUUUACUAAAUAAAGUAAAAAUAAUUCAAUCAAAAAGUAACACAACAAAUGUGUAUAACAAUAAUGAGGCUAUAUACAGGGGGUACAGGUACAGAGUCAAUGUGCCGGGAUACAGGUUAGGUGUUAAUGUUUUGUAUACUUGUUUUGCUCAUAAUGGUAGAUGUAUGCAUGUGUUCUGUCUUUUCUAGUUGCACAACUAAGUUUCUGACUUACAAUGACAGUCUGCUCACUAUAAUUCCCAUCCAAUAUAUUUUUACAUGUAUGUCUGGGGAAACCCCUUAUCACCCAGUAACUCCUCCUUCAGGCUGAUGAUAUCCAUGCCCUGUUGGACACCUAUGUCCCCAGAUGCAGAGAAGAAGGAUCACCAGCUCAGCUCAUCACUGUCCAAUUUCUGUCCACUCCAGGCCUGACUGCCCUUGACCAGCACAAAAACAUCCUGUGGUGUACGGCAUUAGCAUCAAAUAGCCCCUUUUCAGGGAAGUUAGGAACCAAUAUACACAGGCAGUUAGGAAAGCAAAGGCUAGCUUUUUCAAACAGAAAUUUGCAUCCUGCAGCACAAACUCCAAAAAGUUCUGGCACAUUGUAAAGUCCAUGGGGAAUAAGAGCACCUCCUCCCAGUUGCCCACUGCACUGAGGCUAGGAAACACUGUCAACACCGAUAAAUCCACAAUAAUUGAGAAUUUCAAUAAGCAUUUUUGUACUGCUGGCCAUGCUUUCCACCUGGCCACCCCUACCCUGGUCAACAGCCCUGCACCCCCCAGAGCAACUCCUCCAAGCCUCCCACAUUUCUCCUUCACCCAAAUCAAGAUAGCUGAUGUUCUGAAAGAGCUGCAAAAUCUGGACCCCUACAAAUCAGCCGAAAGCCAAGUUAACAGAUCACCGACCAUUUUGAUUCCCACCGUACCUUCUCCGCUAUGCAAUCUGGUUUCAGAGCUGGUCAUAGGUGCACCUCAGCCACGCUCAAGGGCUUAAACGAUAUCAUAACCGCCAUCGAUAAGAGACAUUGCUGUACAGCCAUAUUCAUCGACCUGGCCAAGGCUUUUGACUCUGUCAAUCACCACAUUCUCAUCGGCAGACUCAACAGCCUUGUUUCUCAAAUGACUGCCUCGCCUGGUUCACCAACUACUUCUCAGAGUUCAGUGUGUUAAAUUGGAGGGCCUGUUCUCCGGACCUCUGGCAGUCUCUAUGGGGGAGCCACAGGGUUCAAUUCUCGGGUCGACUCUUUUCUCUGUAUACAUCAAUGAUGUCGCUCUUGCUGCUGGUGAUUCUCUGAUCCACCUCUACGCAGACGACACCAUUCUGUAUACUUCUGGCCCCUCCUUGGACACUGUGUUAACUAACCUCCAGAAGAGCUUCAAUGCCAUACAACUCUCAUUCCGUGGCCUCCAACUGCUUUUAAAUGCAAGUAAAACUAAAUGUAUGCUCUUCAACCGAUGGCUGCCCGCACCUGCACGCCCGUCCAGCAUCACUACUCUGGACGGUUCUGACUUAGAAUAUGUGGACAACUACAAAUACCUAGGUGUGUGGUUAGACUGUAAACUCUCCUUCCAGCCUCACAAUAAGCAUCUCCAAUCCAAAAUUAAAUCUAGAAUCGGCUUCCUAUUUCGCAACAGCAUCCUUCCCUCACGCUGCCAAACAUACCCUCGUACAACUGACUAUCCUGCCGAUCCUUGACUUCGGCGAUGUCAUUUACAAAAUAGCAUCCAACACUCUACUCAGCAAAUUGGAUGCAGUCUAUCACAGUGCCAUCUGUUUUGUCACGAAAGCCCCAUAUACUACCCACCACUGAGACCUGUAUGCUCUCGUUGGAUGGCCCUCGCUUUAUGUUUGUCGCCAAAUCCACUGGCUCCAGGUCACCCAUAAGUAUUUGCUAGGUAAAGCCCCGCCUUAUCUCAGCUCACUGGUCACCAUAGCAGCACCCACCUGUAGCACGCGCUCCAGCAGGUAUAUUUCACUGGUCAUCCCCAAAGCCAAUUCCUCUUUGGCUGCCUUUCCUUCCAAUUCUCUGCUGCCAAUGAAUGGAACAAAUGGAGAGAGAAAAAAAAUCACUGAAGCUGGAGACCCAUAUCUCCCUCACUAACUUUAAGCACCAGCUGUUUGAGCAGAUCACUGCACCUGUACAUACCCCAUCUGUAAAUAGCCCAUCCAUCUACCUCAUCCCCAUACUGUUGUUUAUUUUUUGGCUCCUUUGCACCCUAGUGUCUUUACUUGCACAUUCAUUUCUGCACAUAUCAUUCCUGCGUUUAAUUGCUAUAUUUGAAUUAUUUUGCCACUAUGGCCUAUUUAUUGCCUUACCUUAUUUGCACACACUGUAUAUAUACUUGUUCUAUUGUAUUAUUGACUGUUUAUUAUUUAUUAUUAUUAUUUGUUUAUUCCAUGUGGAACUCAAACUGUUGUUUGUGUUGCACUGCUUUGCUUAUUCUUGACCAGUUCACAGUUGUAAAUUAGAACUUGUUCUCAACUAGCCUACCUGGUUAAAUAAAGGUGAAAUAAAUAGAAUCAAAAAUGUAACUUAAGAAGGUGGCACUUUAAGGUUGUCAUAACUCUGUGGUCACUAAAGAUCCCAUGGCACUUAUUGCCAGAGUAUGUAAUGAUAUGUACCAUUUUAGGUGCAAUGUGUAUAUCAAACUGUAUUCCUAUCAUGUAAUACUGUGUAUAAAAAUACCAUGUAUGAAUAAUGUAUAUGUAACAAUAUUUGUAUAAAACAUGUGUGAAACAAAGUUACUUUUGUACUCCAAAUAGAAGGGUGGAUGGGUCAAUAAAAUAAGAGUAUGUAAGUGGGGUUAGGGUGGUGAGUUUCACCUUACACUGAGUCCAAUCAAUUAGUAUUAUUUCAUGUUUAGCCAUCUUCCAUAGCUUGAAGACCAUGCUUGAGAUGGAGACUGGUACAAAAUACCAAAAAGGUAGACUGCAAGGUUAUGUUAAGUUAAAUAAGUGACUAUAGUAAGUGCCUAGGUGCCAAAUAAAGUAACAGGAUUUAAGUUAAA
Long non-coding RNA from Oncorhynchus nerka (sockeye salmon), 6967 nucleotides. RefSeq lists it as uncharacterized. The record is from RefSeq and is a predicted model, not a curated record. The transcript has 4 exons. NCBI's taxonomy places the organism in Eukaryota, Metazoa, Chordata, Actinopteri, Salmoniformes, Salmonidae.